AAAUUGAAGAGUUUGAUCAUGGCUCAGAUUGAACGCUGGCGGCAGGCCUAACACAUGCAAGUCGAGCGGUAGCACAGAGAGCUUGCUCUCGGGUGACGAGCGGCGGACGGGUGAGUAAUGUCUGGGAAACUGCCUGAUGGAGGGGGAUAACUACUGGAAACGGUAGCUAAUACCGCAUAACGUCGCAAGACCAAAGUGGGGGACCUUCGGGCCUCAUGCCAUCAGAUGUGCCCAGAUGGGAUUAGCUAGUAGGUGGGGUAAUGGCUCACCUAGGCGACGAUCCCUAGCUGGUCUGAGAGGAUGACCAGCCACACUGGAACUGAGACACGGUCCAGACUCCUACGGGAGGCAGCAGUGGGGAAUAUUGCACAAUGGGCGCAAGCCUGAUGCAGCCAUGCCGCGUGUGUGAAGAAGGCCUUCGGGUUGUAAAGCACUUUCAGCGGGGAGGAAGGCGGUGAGGUUAAUAACCUCAGCGAUUGACGUUACCCGCAGAAGAAGCACCGGCUAACUCCGUGCCAGCAGCCGCGGUAAUACGGAGGGUGCAAGCGUUAAUCGGAAUUACUGGGCGUAAAGCGCACGCAGGCGGUCUGUCAAGUCGGAUGUGAAAUCCCCGGGCUCAACCUGGGAACUGCAUUCGAAACUGGCAGGCUAGAGUCUUGUAGAGGGGGGUAGAAUUCCAGGUGUAGCGGUGAAAUGCGUAGAGAUCUGGAGGAAUACCGGUGGCGAAGGCGGCCCCCUGGACAAAGACUGACGCUCAGGUGCGAAAGCGUGGGGAGCAAACAGGAUUAGAUACCCUGGUAGUCCACGCCGUAAACGAUGUCGAUUUGGAGGUUGUGCCCUUGAGGCGUGGCUUCCGGAGCUAACGCGUUAAAUCGACCGCCUGGGGAGUACGGCCGCAAGGUUAAAACUCAAAUGAAUUGACGGGGGCCCGCACAAGCGGUGGAGCAUGUGGUUUAAUUCGAUGCAACGCGAAGAACCUUACCUGGUCUUGACAUCCACAGAACUUUCCAGAGAUGGAUUGGUGCCUUCGGGAACUGUGAGACAGGUGCUGCAUGGCUGUCGUCAGCUCGUGUUGUGAAAUGUUGGGUUAAGUCCCGCAACGAGCGCAACCCUUAUCCUUUGUUGCCAGCGGU
This 1133-nucleotide ribosomal RNA is filed under the name Klebsiella pneumoniae. RNAcentral describes it as "bacterial SSU rRNA". It matches the Rfam family "Bacterial small subunit ribosomal RNA", at positions 1 to 1125 of the family's 1533-position model. The record is from RNAcentral. Lineage: Bacteria; Pseudomonadati; Pseudomonadota; Gammaproteobacteria; Enterobacterales; Enterobacteriaceae.